GAUGAAGAACGUAGCGAAAUGCGAUAAGUAAUGUGAAUUGCAGAAUUCAGUGAAUCAUCGAAUCUUUGAACGCACCUUGCGCCCUUUGGCUAUUCCGAAGGGCAUGCCUGUUUGAGUAUCAUGAACACCUCAACUCUCAUGGCUUGCCAUGAUGAGCUUGGACUUUUAGGGGUCUUGCUGGCCUGUGGUCAGCUCCUCUCAAAUGAAUUAGCCUGCCAGUGUUUGGUGGCAUCACAGGUGUGAUAACUAUCUACGCUUGUGGUUUUCCACCAGGUAACCUUCAGUGAUGAAGGUUCGCUGGGGCUCAUAAACGUCUCUCCUCAGUGAGGACAGCUCUUUGAACGUUUGAUCUCAAAUCAGGUAGGACUACCCGCUGAACUUAAGCAUAUCAAUAAGCGGAGGA
RNAcentral lists this unclassified non-coding RNA (403 nucleotides) under soil metagenome. RNAcentral describes it as "partial contains 5.8S ribosomal RNA, internal transcribed spacer 2, and large subunit ribosomal RNA". The stretch from base 1 to 121 matches the Rfam family "5.8S ribosomal RNA", at positions 35 to 154 of the family's 154-position model. The record is from RNAcentral.